AUUGAACGCUGGCGGCAGGCCUAACACAUGCAAGUCGAGCGGAUGAAGGGAGCUUGCUCCUGGAUUCAGCGGCGGACGGGUGAGUAAUGCCUAGGAAUCUGCCUGGUAGUGGGGGAUAACGUCCGGAAACGGGCGCUAAUACCGCAUACGUCCUGAGGGAGAAAGUGGGGGAUCUUCGGACCUCACGCUAUCAGAUGAGCCUAGGUCGGAUUAGCUAGUUGGUGGGGUAAAGGCCUACCAAGGCGACGAUCCGUAACUGGUCUGAGAGGAUGAUCAGUCACACUGGAACUGAGACACGGUCCAGACUCCUACGAGAGGCAGCAGUGGGGAAUAUUGGACAAUGGGCGAAAGCCUGAUCCAGCCAUGCCGCGUGUGUGAAGAAGGUCUUCGGAUUGUAAAGCACUUUAAGUUGGGAGGAAGGGCAGUAAGUUAAUACCUUGCUGUUUUGACGUUACCAGCAGAAUAAGCACCGGCUAACUUCGUG
Molecule: ribosomal RNA, 484 nt
Filed under: uncultured bacterium
Lineage: Bacteria
Description: partial 16S ribosomal RNA
Rfam family: Bacterial small subunit ribosomal RNA
Source: RNAcentral